Molecule: long non-coding RNA, 1706 nt
Organism: Hemiscyllium ocellatum (epaulette shark)
Lineage: Eukaryota; Metazoa; Chordata; Chondrichthyes; Orectolobiformes; Hemiscylliidae
Exons: 5
Source: RefSeq, a predicted model, not a curated record
AAUAACUCGAUUUAUUCACACUCUGUGCAAGCAGCAGGUUAGGGAGGGCAAUGCCCAGUAACUAGGAAAUGGGUCCACGGUUGUGGAUUUUACCAAGAGCUCCAACCCCCUACUCCCCACAACUAUUAUUGGAGUAGAGUUUUUUUUUAAUAGUGGGGAGUUAAUGGGCGAAGGGGUGGCCGACCACCCAGAGCGCCAGUGUCUAUGAGGCAUUUCCACGCCUCGGCCCAGUGCAGGUGGACCAGCAUUGUUGUGUGUGUCAUCACCUCGUUCAGAUUCCCAAGAGAAGAUUCCGCAGUUCCAGCUCCGAAGCGUGGAUUUUAUUUCCCUGCUCUUUCUCUCUCUCUCCAUCUCUCUCUCUCUCUACACCCUUCCCCCCCCCCCCCCCCACCUCAAAUGUCUCUUUUAAAAAGGAAGCAGAGCUGGCAGAGGAAAUUCUGCUAUUCGAGAUAUUUGUCAUCAUAAUAAGUAACAUCAUCAGUGAGAGUCUCCGGUGAAGUGCUGGUGGUAUGUCCCGCCUCUACUUACAGAUCUUGGUUUCUUCAGUAUGGUGCCAUUCCAGAUGACUUCUUUAGCAUAAGCUAAACAGCUGUGAACAGACGUAUCAGGCAAUUUAAGGAUUCAUUGUUCUUUCAAGCCAGCAUUUCAUCAGCUUUCCCAUGGGGGACUGGUGCCUGUGUGCCAGAACACUGCAAUUUUACUCAAUAACAGGAUUUCCCAAAGUCUAUGGAGUCACAAAUUGAAUACAUAUGGUCAAAAAUGUUCCCACAUCAUUGGCCCUUACAUUUGUCAACAGGAAUGGAGAAAAGAAUGUGCUGCAUUACUGCAACUAAAGAUACACUACCAUGCAAAGAAUUGCUUAUUUCUUGGCAAUGCCUUCAUCUCAAUGCAUCGUGUCAUUAAUCUUUAAGACAGAAAAUCAAGUCUCUCUUUGGCUGCUUUGAGAUUAGGGUUAUUCUCUACAGCUGUGGAAGAUAACAUCUGUAUGUCAUCUCAAAGCUGAAGCUACACUGUGCUCCUGAGUAACUGUGACUCACUCAAUAGACCAGAAAUGGGUGGAUGUCUCCAUCAGUUACCCAUCUGACUCACUCAGUAUCAUGAAGUAUUCUGUUGCCAGGUGAAUUUACAACUCAUGUAUGUGGAUUGAUCUGGUGAUCCUUCAAAAAUAUUUAGGAUUAUGGUGAUUUGCCAAAUGAUGAGCAAUUUGAUCUGACAAAGAGACUCCUACACAUGAAGAGUACAUAAGCCCACACGGAUGGUAAUGUGAGAAAAGCCCUUUAGUGGAAUGAAGAUAUCCCUCAGACUCCUGGUCAACACUUCUUCUUCACAUUCCAUCAAAUGCUACAGUUCACCCAUGAUUUAUUUAUCACCAGAUGCAUAACUCACUAUUUUCCAGAUCGUGCUUCAGUUAGUGCAAGGAUGGAUAAUUCUAUGGUGGUGCUUAAAAAAUAGUAGGAUCUCUCCAUUUCCAUCAGAAGUGAAAGAGUAAAGAGUUGCAGAGAUGAAGAUAAGUGGCUGUGACAUUGAAAGAGAAAACCAAGUGGCAUCUCUCCUUUAUCCAUCUCCCCGCAAACCCAAUUGCAUCCACCUUCAUUAACACUGUUGCCUUAACACUGGCAAUCAUGUUAGGUGCUCACUACAUAUGUUUAUGAUAAUGUAUGUUCAUGAUAACAAUAUCAUUAAUCAAACAAAUUUUUAAAGGAUAA